This 275-nucleotide long non-coding RNA is filed under the name Solanum tuberosum (potato). RNAcentral describes it as "long non-coding RNA (STUB_LNC011486)". Lineage: Eukaryota; Viridiplantae; Streptophyta; Magnoliopsida; Solanales; Solanaceae. The record is from RNAcentral.
CCUAGACCAAUUUCUGGGAUCAUAAUGUAGCAAGUCCUCUUUUAUUUCCUUCUUACCUAGCUGGGACAUUGCAUGAACUUCUUCUCCAAACUUGACUUCAAAGGAGGCCUUUGAGCAUCUCCAAAACUGUUUCCUUCUUUCUUCUCCUUUCCAGUUCACAUGCCAGUUACUCCAUAUAUGUCUAGCACACAUCCUUUUCUCAGCAGUUGGUAACAACUCUGACAAGACAGGAAUAAGUCCCUAACAAAAAAUAUGUACAGAAUAAGUAAUUGAAG